AGCUCCAAUAGCGUAUAUUAAAGUUGUUGCAGUUAAAAAGCUCGUAGUUGGAUCUCAGGGUGAGCUCAGUUGGUCGGCCUACUUGGUCAGAACUGGCUGACUCUCCCUUGUUUCUGAAUCCCUGUGGUGGUUAACUCUAUCGCUGUGGACUUCAGAUCGUUUACCUUGAAAAAAUUAGAGUGUUCAAAGCGGGCGUUUGCUUGAAUACAUUAGCAUGGAAUAAUGGAAUAGGACCCUGGUUCUAUUUUGUUGGUUUUGAGGACCAGAGUAAUGAUUAAUAGGGAUAGUUGGGGGCAUUCAUAUUUAAUUGUCAGAGGUGAAAUUCUUGGAUUUAUGAAAGAUGAACUUCUGCGAAAGCAUUUGCCAAGGAUGUUUUCAUUAAUCAAGAACGAAAGUACGC
Molecule: ribosomal RNA, 400 nt
Filed under: phytoplankton environmental sample
Lineage: Eukaryota
Description: partial small subunit ribosomal RNA
Rfam family: Eukaryotic small subunit ribosomal RNA
Source: RNAcentral